RNAcentral lists this ribosomal RNA (450 nucleotides) under uncultured bacterium. RNAcentral's name for it is "partial 16S ribosomal RNA". It matches the Rfam family "Bacterial small subunit ribosomal RNA", at positions 338 to 795 of the family's 1533-position model. The record is from RNAcentral.
CCUACGGGUGGCUGCAGUGGGGAAUUUUGGACAAUGGGCGCAAGCCUGAUCCAGCCAUGCCGCGUGAGUGAAGAAGGCCUUCGGGUUGUAAAGCUCUUUCAGCCGGAAAGAAAACGCACGGGUUAAUACCCUGUGUGGAUGACGGUACCGGAAGAAGAAGCACCGGCUAACUACGUGCCAGCAGCCGCGGUAAUACGUAGGGUGCGUGCGUUACUCGAAAUUACUGGGCGUGGAUUUUGAGGACAGAGGUGAAAUCCCCGGGCUUAACCUGGGAACUGCAUUUGUGACUGCAAGGCUAGAGUACGGCAGAGGGGGGUAGAAUUCCACGUGUAGCAGUGAAAUGCGUAGAUAUGUGGAGGAAUACCGAUGGCGAAGGCAGCCCCCUGGGUCGAUACUGACGCUCAUGCACGAAAGCGUGGGGAGCAAACAGGAUUAGAUACCCCAGUAGUC